UACGAAGGGGGCUAGCGUUGCUCGGAAUCACUGGGCGUAAAGGGUGCGUAGGCGGGUCUUUAAGUCAGGGGUGAAAUCCUGGAGCUCAACUCCAGAACUGCCUUUGAUACUGAAGAUCUUGAGUUCGGGAGAGGUGAGUGGAACUGCGAGUGUAGAGGUGAAAUUCGUAGAUAUUCGCAGGAACACCAGUGGCGAAGGCGGCUAACUGGUCCAUAACUGACGCUGAGGUGCGAAAGCGUGGGGAGCAAACAGGG
Molecule: ribosomal RNA, 254 nt
Filed under: uncultured bacterium
Lineage: Bacteria
Description: partial 16S ribosomal RNA
Rfam family: Bacterial small subunit ribosomal RNA
Source: RNAcentral